AAGUCGAGCGGCAAGGGGUAGCAAUACCCCUAGAGCGGCGGACUGGUGAGUAACGCGUGGGUGACCUACCCUUAGGUUGGGGAUAGCCAUUAGAAAUAGUGGGUAAUACCGAAUAUGGUUGUUUUGCUAUGGCGAGACAAAGAAAGGAGCCUUGGCUCCGCCUGAGGAUGGGCCCGCGUCCCAUUAGGUAGUUGGUGAGGUAAAGGCCCACCAAGCCCGAGAUGGGUAGCCGGCCUGAGAGGGUGAACGGCCACACUGGGACUGAGAUACGGCCCAGACUCCUACGGGAGGCAGCAGCUAAGAAUAUUCCGCAAUGGACGAAAGUCUGACGGAGCGACGCCGCGUGUACGAAGAAGGCUGAAAGGUUGUAAAGUACUUUUCUUGCUGAAGAAUAAGCGUGGGAGGGAAUGCCCGCGUGAUGACGGUAAGCAAGGAAUAAGCCCCGGCUAAUUACGUGCCAGCAGCCGCGGUAACACGUAAGGGGCAAGCGUUGUUCGGAAUUAUUGGGCGUAAAGGGCGCGUAGGCGGUUAUGUAAGUCUGGCGUGAAAGGCAGGGGCUUAACUCCUGGACUGCGCUGGAAACUGUGUAACUUGAGUCAUGGAGGGGGAGUUGGAAUUCCUGGUGUAGGGGUGAAAUCUGUAGAUAUCAGGAAGAACACCGGUGGCGAAGGCGAACUUCUAGCCAAUGACUGACGCUGAGGCGCGAAAG
Molecule: ribosomal RNA, 709 nt
Filed under: uncultured spirochete
Lineage: Bacteria; Pseudomonadati; Spirochaetota; Spirochaetia; Spirochaetales
Description: bacterial SSU rRNA
Rfam family: Bacterial small subunit ribosomal RNA
Source: RNAcentral